GUUCGCCUCAUGAUGGAAAGAAAGUGCCUCUUCACUGGGCAAUGGAUGUCGUCUUUGGAGGCAGGGAGCACCUCUGAGGUAGUCGGCUCCUUUGGCGUAGGAAAACAUAUUGGAGAAAAACUGAAUACUGAAGAGAAUGUGCCAUUUAACUCAGCAGCAUUUUUGUUGGAUGGGCACUGCUCAUCCUUCUGUCAUCAUCCGAACAUACACAAGCAGCUGGAGCACUACGAGAAGCACAGAGGUGGAAACUGGGAACGAGGGAAGUGGUCUGACAGCUGCCUGCUCUUACCGCUCGUACAGCCGUAGCCCAACGUUUUCCUUCCAGAGGGUGAGCAGUGAAGACAGUACUGGGAGGUGUGUGUGUCCAUCACACGCGCGUCCAUCACUGCCCUCACCAGGACGCGAACUGCUGAACUAAGACAGUGAAGUUGUCACCACAGAAAAAUUUAAGAGAGUUUUUAGAAAGUAGGCACUAGGCUGGUAUUUUAUGUGUAUGAUCUAAAAUAUUUAUUCCAACAAGCCUAAAUUUGAUGUUGCUGCUCUUAUUUUAAGAAGAAAGUGGUUAAGAUUAGAUAACUUGCUAGCACUCAGACAGUUGGUAAAUACCACAGCUGAGAUUUGACCCAACUUAACCUGGAACGGGCUCUAACAUCAGCUCUGCCCAGCCUCUCUGUCCUCUCUCUGAUGGACAGGACAGACCGUCUUCCAGGCAUUGCAAUUGCUCUGUCUCUACUCGUUUCACUUAGAGUAGCUUUU
RNAcentral lists this long non-coding RNA (756 nucleotides) under Chinchilla lanigera (long-tailed chinchilla). Its description in RNAcentral is "lncRNA (ENSCLAG00000025208.1)". Lineage: Eukaryota; Metazoa; Chordata; Mammalia; Rodentia; Chinchillidae. The record is from RNAcentral.